UGGGGAAUAUUGGACAAUGGGCGAAAGCCUGAUCCAGCCAUGCCGCGUGUGUGAAGAAGGUCUUCGGAUUGUAAAGCACUUUAAGUUGGGAGGAAGGGUUGUAGAUUAAUACUCUGCAAUUUUGACGUUACCGACAGAAUAAGCACCGGCUAACUCUGUGCCAGCAGCCGCGGUAAUACAGAGGGUGCAAGCGUUAAUCGGAAUUACUGGGCGUAAAGCGCGCGUAGGUGGUUUGUUAAGUUGGAUGUGAAAUCCCCGGGCUCAACCUGGGAACUGCAUCCAAAACUGGCAAGCUAGAGUAUGGUAGAGGGUGGUGGAAUUUCCUGUGUAGCGGUGAAAUGCGUAGAUAUAGGAAGGAACACCAGUGGCGAAGGCGACCACCUGGACUGAUACUGACGCUGAGGUGCGAAAGCGUGGGGAGCAAACAGGAUUAGAUACCCACGUAGUCCCUGAGCGGGCUGGCAAGGCGCAU
This 472-nucleotide ribosomal RNA is filed under the name uncultured bacterium. Its description in RNAcentral is "bacterial SSU rRNA". It matches the Rfam family "Bacterial small subunit ribosomal RNA", at positions 355 to 825 of the family's 1533-position model. The record is from RNAcentral.